Trifolium pratense (red clover) is the source of this 648-nucleotide long non-coding RNA. RefSeq lists it as uncharacterized. NCBI's taxonomy places the organism in Eukaryota, Viridiplantae, Streptophyta, Magnoliopsida, Fabales, Fabaceae. The transcript is spliced from 3 exons. The record is from RefSeq and is a predicted model, not a curated record.
GUUUUUUUUUGUUAGGUCAAGAGAGCAUAGGUUCUUUAUACUAUAUAAAGUGAUAGAAUUUUUUAUGUUUGGUACAUGCGAAUGAAAAAAAAUAUGACUAAAAUUCUCAAAUUUGUUUAUGUUGUGGUCAUUUUAAUUUCUCUAUUUCUUGUUGCAACUAACGCCGAAGCUCUUAAUUGUACUACCUGGCUCCAAUGUUUUACUACUCAUUGUUACCUUCAUGGAAAACCAUUAUGCGUGAACGGUCAAUGUUUAUGCGUUUAACAGUUAAGUCGAAAAUGAUUCUAUGUCUUCUAAGCCACCAAGUUUGUAUCUCAAGGUUUGAUUUUGCAGUUUGUGUUCAGAAAGACGAUUUUGAGGUUGUGUUGAAGAUAUUGACCAGAAUAUAGUUGUAAUUCAAACUGGAUAUGGACUUCUUCAACUUAAAUAACUUGUGGAUUAAUGCAUAUAUUUAUAAAAAUGAUUUUUAUAUGCUAUUGGUAUUUAUAAAAAACAAAGUUACAUGUAAAAAGAUAAAAUUUCCUGCAAAUUUAUCUGUUGUACCAUUUGUUGCAGAAGUAUGUUUGCAGAAAAUUUACUUGCAGAAUAAGCAGGAAAACCAUUAAAAAGCUAUAAUCAACGACCAAAUGUUGCGGAUAUCUUCACUUU